Molecule: ribosomal RNA, 461 nt
Filed under: uncultured bacterium
Lineage: Bacteria
Description: SSU rRNA
Rfam family: Bacterial small subunit ribosomal RNA
Source: RNAcentral
AGAAUCAACGCUGGCGGCGUGCCUAACACAUGCAAGUCGAACGAGAAAGGGGUAGCAAUACCCUGAGUAAAGUGGCGCACGGGUGAGUAACACGUGACUAACCUACCCUUGAGUGGGGGAUAACUGAGGGAAACCUUAGCUAAUACCGCAUAAUACCCACGGGUCAAAGGAGCAAUUCGCUCGAGGAGGGGGUCGCGGCCGAUUAGUUAGUUGGCGGGGUAAUGGCCCACCAAGACGAUGAUCGGUAUCCGGCCUGAGAGGGCGCACGGACACACUGGAACUGAAACACGGUCCAGACUCCUACGGGAGGCAGCAGUGGGGAAUUUUGCUCAAUGGGGGAACCCUGACGCAGCAACGCCGCGUGGAGGAUGAAGUCCUUCGGGACGUAAACUCCUUUCGAUCGGGACGAUUAUGACGGUACCGGAAGAAGAAGCCCCGGCUAACUUCGCGCCAGCAGCCGC